ACCAGUCGGCAAGUCCAUUCUCCGCAAAAAUACAGAAUAAUCCAACACGAAUAUGAUACUAAAACUUUUAAGAUGUUACAGUUAUCUACAUAGAUGUUUCAAAAUAUGAAUUUUACGGAACUUUUUUAAAGCAAAAAUCAAGUAAAAAUAAGCACAAAUAGACAAAAUAUAUUCACGAAACUUUUAAAAUCAACGGGUUAAAUUGAUGAAAUUCAUAGCACUGAAUGAUAAAAAAGAAUCUUCAUUCGCAACUAAAAUAGUGACCGCUAUCAUCAUUAACUUUAUUUAUUACCGUCAUUCACUUCUGAAUGUCUGUUUACCCCUAUUUCAACCGAAUGCUUCGCAUUCGGUUUUUUU
Molecule: unclassified non-coding RNA, 357 nt
Filed under: Salmonella enterica subsp. enterica serovar Paratyphi A str. ATCC 9150
Lineage: Bacteria; Pseudomonadati; Pseudomonadota; Gammaproteobacteria; Enterobacterales; Enterobacteriaceae
Also listed under: 1 other name
Description: micF RNA gene
Rfam family: MicF RNA (bases 265-357)
Source: RNAcentral